AGGUGGUUUGUCGCGUCGUCUGUGAAAUCCGGGGCUUAACUCCGGGCGUGCAGGCGAUACGGGCAUAACUUGAGUACUGUAGGGGUAACUGGAAUUCCUGGUGUAGCGGUGAAAUGCGCAGAUAUUAGGAGGAACACCGAUGGCGAAGGCAGGUUACUGGGCAGUUACUGACGCUGAGGAGCGAAAGCAUGGGUAGCGAACAGGAUUAGAUACCCUGGUAGUCCAUGCCGUAAACGGUGGGCGCUAGGUGUGAGGGUCUUUUCACGACUUUCGUGCCGUAGCUAACGCAUUAAGCGCCCCGCCUGGGGAGUACGGCCGCAAGGCUAAAACUCAAAGGAAUUGACGGGGGCCCGCACAAGCGGCGGAGCAUGUGGAUUAAUUCGAUGCAACGCGAAGAACCUUACCUGGGCUUGACAUACACUGGAUCGGGCUAGAGAUAGUCUUUCCCUUUGUGGCUGGUGUACAGGUGGUGCAUGGUUGUCGUCAGCUCGUGUCGUGAGAUGUUGGGUUAAGUCCCGCAACGAGCGCAACCCUUGUCUUAUGUUGCCCAGCAUUUGGUUGGGGACUCAUGAGAGACUGCCGGGGUCAACUCGGAGGAAGGUGGGGAUGACGUCAAAUCACCAUGCCCCUUAUGUCCAGGGCUUCACACAUGCUACAAUGGUCGGUACAACGCGCAGCGACACUGUGAGGUGGAGCGAAUCGCUGAAAGCCGGCCUUAGUUCGGAUUGGGGUCUGCAACUCGACCCCAUGAAGUCGG
Molecule: ribosomal RNA, 757 nt
Filed under: uncultured bacterium
Lineage: Bacteria
Description: bacterial SSU rRNA
Rfam family: Bacterial small subunit ribosomal RNA
Source: RNAcentral